GGUCAUCUCCAUGGGAAGAAGAUCCGCUCUUACUGCAGAAUCGUUGGUUCAUUUACUGAUUUGUUCAGUGAGUUUGCUGCUGACACCAUGCAGGUCACUGGGCCAAGCCAGGGGUUAAGAACUGUGAGGGAACCUCGGCUGCAAGAGGUGGAGUGAGUUGUCCAAGGCCACACGGCUGACACUACGAUCAUUCACCUGCCUUCCACCUGACCAAGAGCACCCCACAAAUGAGGCUGUGUUUCAGCGGAAGCAGGUUCCAGCUCUGAUAUUUUCCCAAAUAUCUGGUCUCACGUCUUCUUCCAGUACCUCGCCGCUCCCCGUUCAGAGGCAGAGUCGAUUUCCUGGUCCUUGGAACGUGGGUGGGUUUUGUGAGUGCCCUGAUGAAUAAAAUAUCGUAGAAGUGA
Hyaena hyaena (striped hyena) is the source of this 404-nucleotide long non-coding RNA. RefSeq lists it as uncharacterized. Lineage: Eukaryota; Metazoa; Chordata; Mammalia; Carnivora; Hyaenidae. The record is from RefSeq and is a predicted model, not a curated record. The transcript is spliced from 3 exons.